ACACUGAUCUGUCCCUGCGUGGCCAGCAGGAAUCCAGCUUCCCACAGUCCGGAGGGCAGCAACCUGGGCGCUGUAUGCUAGCAACGCCUCCGAAGGCCUGGCCUGACCGCCCGCAUCCCCCAGGCCGCGCCGUUUCCUGGAGGAGGCUCCUGCAGUCCAAAGAGUGGCACUUCCCCACUGAACACUCCAGGUGCGGGGAAAGAGGAGUGAGGCCUGGCUCCAGGGAGCUUAGUGUUUGGAGAAUGCUGACUGACUCUGGAGGAAGCCCAAAUCCGACUCUCCAGAGGUGACCCCUGGCAACCGUGUGCUGAUGCGGCCCCAGUUCUCCCCGCGCCCACGUAAGGUGUGUACGCAAAGAGAUUCGAAAAAGGCAGAAUGGUGCUGACCUAUUGUUUUGUGAUCUCUGUCUCCGACUUAACCAGAUGGACCUCUUCUCACUCCAGCAUUUGCAGAUUAGCCAGAGUCCGAACAUGGCACUGACGGGGUCACAAUUUACUCCUCCUGUUUACGGACACGUGGUUUUCCAGGUUGCUGUUAUUAGGAACAGUGCCACAGGCACAGCCGGCAACGCAGAGCUUUGCUCUCAGGUGGUAGCGUUUUGGGGCUAGAUUCCUAGGAUCCGGUUGUGAAAACUAGUAAAAUCUGAUUAAUUUUGGCCACAUUUCCUUUCA
Neogale vison (American mink) is the source of this 671-nucleotide long non-coding RNA. RefSeq lists it as uncharacterized. The transcript has 3 exons. Lineage: Eukaryota; Metazoa; Chordata; Mammalia; Carnivora; Mustelidae. The record is from RefSeq and is a predicted model, not a curated record.